This 76-nucleotide transfer RNA is filed under the name Desulfosarcina sp. OttesenSCG-928-G10. RNAcentral's name for it is "tRNA-Thr". It matches the Rfam family "tRNA". Rfam says of the family: Transfer RNA (tRNA) molecules are approximately 80 nucleotides in length. Their secondary structure includes four short double-helical elements and three loops (D, anti-codon, and T loops). Lineage: Bacteria; Pseudomonadati; Thermodesulfobacteriota; Desulfobacteria; Desulfobacterales; Desulfosarcinaceae. The record is from RNAcentral.
GCCGGCGUAGCUCAGCUGGUAGAGCAGCUGAUUCGUAAUCAGCAGGUCGCGGGUUCAAGUCCCAUCGCCGGCUCCA